Molecule: ribosomal RNA, 253 nt
Filed under: uncultured bacterium
Lineage: Bacteria
Description: partial 16S ribosomal RNA
Rfam family: Bacterial small subunit ribosomal RNA
Source: RNAcentral
UACGGGGGGUGCGAGCGUUGUCCGGAAUCACUGGGCGUAAAGGGCGCGUAGGCGGUUUGGACAGUCAGAUGUGAAAUUCCUGGGCUCAACCCGGGGGCUGCAUUUGAUACGUUCGGACUAGAGUGGGGAAGAGGGUCGUGGAAUUCCCAGUGUAGAGGUGAAAUUCGUAGAUAUUGGGAAGAACACCGGUGGCGAAGGCGGCGACCUGGUCCUUGACUGACGCUGAGGCGCGAAAGCGUGGGGAGCAAACAGG